Molecule: transfer RNA, 75 nt
Filed under: Nitratireductor sp.
Lineage: Bacteria; Pseudomonadati; Pseudomonadota; Alphaproteobacteria; Hyphomicrobiales; Phyllobacteriaceae
Also listed under: 2 other names
Description: tRNA-Asn
Rfam family: tRNA
About the family: Transfer RNA (tRNA) molecules are approximately 80 nucleotides in length.
Source: RNAcentral
UCCUCGGUAGCUCAGCGGUAGAGCAACCGGCUGUUAACCGGUUGGUCGCUGGUUCGAAUCCGGCCCGAGGAGCCA